RNAcentral lists this transfer RNA (58 nucleotides) under Biomphalaria glabrata. The record is from Rfam by way of RNAcentral. Lineage: Eukaryota; Metazoa; Mollusca; Gastropoda; Planorbidae.
UGGCUGAGUGCUAAAGCGCUUGGCUUCCGAACCGAGAGGUUCCAGGUUGGAAUCCUGG